Molecule: ribosomal RNA, 327 nt
Filed under: Escherichia coli
Lineage: Bacteria; Pseudomonadati; Pseudomonadota; Gammaproteobacteria; Enterobacterales; Enterobacteriaceae
Also listed under: 1 other name
Description: bacterial SSU rRNA
Rfam family: Bacterial small subunit ribosomal RNA
Source: RNAcentral
GAGUCUCGUAGAGGGGGGUAGAAUUCCAGGUGUAGCGGUGAAAUGCGUAGAGAUCUGGAGGAAUACCGGUGGCGAAGGCGGCCCCCUGGACGAAGACUGACGCUCAGGUGCGAAAGCGUGGGGAGCAAACAGGAUUAGAUACCCUGGUAGUCCACGCCGUAAACGAUGUCGACUUGGAGGUUGUGCCCUUGAGGCGUGGCUUCCGGAGCUAACGCGUUAAGUCGACCGCCUGGGGAGUACGGCCGCAAGGUUAAAACUCAAAUGAAUUGACGGGGGCCCGCACAAGCGGUGGAGCAUGUGGUUUAAUUCGAUGCAACGCGAAGAACC